ACUUUUAAAAUCAAUUAUUUAAGAACCGAUUUUGUAUGCAUACAAAAUCGGUUCUUAAAUAACCGAUUUUAAAAGU
Molecule: microRNA precursor, 76 nt
Filed under: Cajanus cajan (pigeon pea)
Lineage: Eukaryota; Viridiplantae; Streptophyta; Magnoliopsida; Fabales; Fabaceae
Description: miRNA gene-KK1_043859
Source: RNAcentral